This 605-nucleotide ribosomal RNA is filed under the name Phytophthora infestans (potato late blight agent). RNAcentral describes it as "eukaryotic LSU rRNA". The stretch from base 1 to 126 matches the Rfam family "5.8S ribosomal RNA", at positions 30 to 154 of the family's 154-position model. Lineage: Eukaryota; Oomycota; Peronosporomycetes; Peronosporales; Peronosporaceae. The record is from RNAcentral.
GCAUCGAUGAAGAACGCAGCGAGCUGCGAUACGUAAUGCGAAUUGCAGGAUUCAGUGAGUCAUCGAAAUUUGGAACGCAUAUUGCACUUCCGGGUUAGUCCUGGAAGUAUGCCUGUAUCAGUGUCCNAACAACAAACUUGGCUUNCUUCCUNCCGUGUAGUCGGUGGAGGAGAUGCCAGAUGUGAAGUGUCUUGCGGUUGGUUUUCGGACCGACUGCGANUCCUUUUAAAUGUACUAAACUGUACUUCUCUUUGCUCCACAAGUGGUGACAAUACUGGUUGUGGACCGCUGCUAUUGUAGCGAGAUGGCGACCGGUUUGUCUGCUGCGGCGUUAAUGGAGAAAUGCUCGAUUUCGUGGUAUGGUUGGCUUCGGCUGAACAAUGCGCUUAUUGGGUGAUUUUCCUCCUGUGGCGUGAUGGACUGGUGAACCAUGGCUCUUUAGCUUGGCAUUUGAAUCGGCUUUGCUGUUGCGAAGUAGAGUGGCGGCUUCGGCUGCCGAGGGUCGAUCCAUUUGGGAAAUGUUGUGUACUUCGGUAUGCAUCUCAAUUGGACCUGAUAUCAGGCAAGAUUACCCGCUGAACUUAAGCAUAUCAAUAAGCGGAGGA